Molecule: long non-coding RNA, 363 nt
Filed under: Pan troglodytes (chimpanzee)
Lineage: Eukaryota; Metazoa; Chordata; Mammalia; Primates; Hominidae
Description: long non-coding RNA NONPTRT013654
Source: RNAcentral
CAAGCGCGGCCAGAGUGGGCUGAGGCCGAGGAGGCGCCGAGAGCCAGCGGGGGAUGCCAGCAAGCUGUCACCUCUCAGAAAUACAGGAAGAACAUCAAUAAUGUUCGAAGUUAUAAAUUGCGGAGGUCAGAAGUCAGAAAACAAGGUGUCUGCAGGACCAACCUCUCCUCUGGAUGCUCUAGGUGUUGAAAUUUCCAGGAUGCAAAACGAAGGGGCAAUUCAAAACAUUCAUCUCCACUUCUCAACAAUACACAGAGUCACAUGGAUGAAAGAACCCAAGAAAUCAAAUAGCAUCUGGUGACAUUCAACAGUCAUAAUUUAGUGCAUUUUCAGAAGCUACCUAAGACUCAGAUGUUCAUAUUG